UUGUUUCUUGGGUUAAGUGCAUGUUUUGGGAUAAGGGGUUAGCAUUUAAGUCCUGGGAGCUGGGAGUUAAGGUAUAUAUGAGAAAGUCUAUAUGAUAAUGUAUUCAUAGAUCUAGGUGCUUCCUCUUUCCAUCCCCACUGCUACUUACCCCUGUUCUUUUUUUUUAGGCCUAUGGAUUUGUCAACUAUUAAGAAAAACAUAGAAAAUGGACUGAUCCGAAGCACAGCUGAAUUUCAGCGUGACAUUAUGCUGAUGUUUCAGAAUGCUGUAAUGUACAAUAGCUCAGACCAUGAUGUCUAUCACAUGGCAGUGGAGAUGCAGCGAGAUGUCUUGGAACAGAUCCAGCAAUUCUUGGCCACGCAGUUGAUUAUGCAAACAUCCGAGUCUGGGAUCAGUGCUAAAAGUCUUCGAGGGAGAGAUUCUACCCGCAAACAGGAUGCUUCAGAGAAGGACAGUGUCCCAAUGGGCUCUCCUG
Molecule: small RNA, 475 nt
Filed under: Pan troglodytes (chimpanzee)
Lineage: Eukaryota; Metazoa; Chordata; Mammalia; Primates; Hominidae
Description: retained intron
Source: RNAcentral